This 638-nucleotide long non-coding RNA is filed under the name Mus musculus (house mouse). RNAcentral describes it as "Hand2, opposite strand 1". The record is from RNAcentral. Lineage: Eukaryota; Metazoa; Chordata; Mammalia; Rodentia; Muridae.
ACACUUUGGCAAAGUUGCAGUGGCCUGUUUGCUUAGGCACUGAAGUGGAUGACCCAAGUUAGGAUGACAACUUGCAGAGAACGCGGAUGAGACCUUCAGUUUGUGCCCACACUCAUUUGCAGCAACCCUAACAGAGAUUGCGAAGAUUUUCAAAGUGGGGCACCUCGAUUUCUCGAAUCUGUGGUGUGGCGAAUAUCCGUGUUCCUCCUGCUUAACUAGCCUGUUUGAAGGCACAGUUCAUUCUCGAGCAAUUCGUCACCUCCUGGGGGUCUUCUCUUCCCGUCUACAGGAGAGUGUGACUUCAGAAAGAACUUCGGAUUGGCCAAGGCAGGUCUGAUUCUAUUUAUUCUAAAGACAGAGUUGGAGAUGGGCUACCAUUGGUGUUGAUUGAGAUGACAAGCAGUCACCUGAGCCCAUACAGCUGGAUUGACAUAUGAGAAUCAGAGAAAUGAAUGAAAGAUUAGAGUGGGAGAAAGUGCUUGCUGCCAAGCUUGAUGACCUAAAUUGAAUACCUGGAACCUACACGACAGAAAGAGAGAGCUGACUGCUGAAAGAUGUCCUCAGAUCUUCACAUGUGCACAGUGGCACCUAUCCAACCAUGCACAUAGUAUAUUAAAAAUUAUUUUUUAAAAAAUCCA